UACGCAGGUGGCAAGCGUUGUCCGGAUUUAUUGGGCGUAAAGCGAGCGCAGGCGGCUCUUUAAGUCUGAUGUGAAAGCCCCCGGCUCAACCGGGGAGGGCCCUUGGAAACUGGGGAACUUGAGUGCAGAAGAGGAGAGUGGAAUUCCAUGUGUAGCGGUGAAAUGCGGAGAUAUGUGGAGGAACACCAGUGGCGAAGGCGACUUUCUGGUCUGUAACUGACGCUGAGGCGCGAAAGCGGGGGGAGCAACCAGG
This 253-nucleotide unclassified non-coding RNA is filed under the name uncultured Lactobacillales bacterium. RNAcentral's name for it is "contains 16S-23S intergenic spacer region". It matches the Rfam family "Bacterial small subunit ribosomal RNA", at positions 524 to 776 of the family's 1533-position model. The record is from RNAcentral. Lineage: Bacteria; Bacillati; Bacillota; Bacilli; Lactobacillales.